Molecule: non-coding RNA, 4418 nt
Organism: Phalacrocorax carbo (great cormorant)
Lineage: Eukaryota; Metazoa; Chordata; Aves; Suliformes; Phalacrocoracidae
Source: RefSeq, a predicted model, not a curated record
GCGCAAAGGUCGGGGCGCGGGGAGCAGCGGGCAGCCCUGCCGCCGCGACGUGCAGCGUUCCGCGACAAGCUCCUUCCCGCAAGUCCUUCCCUUCUUCGUACGUAGUUGUCAAGAUGAGGAAGACAAGCAGGAGGAAGUCCUCAAAGAAGCACUUGACUUUGAAAACUGGCAUUUAUACUACUUCUGAGAACUUGGAGGAUCUUCAGAAAUAAAACAGACCAGAAAUCCACACCACCAGUGAUGCACAAGGUACAGGUAGGCAAGCACCAACUUUUUAAGUUAACUCGAUAGUCUCAUAGAAACAGAUCUGAAAAAAUUAGCAAGUUAAGAGAAGUGACAAAAUUAGGAAGAAGAUUAUUAAUAAAACUAGCAUGGGAGCAGGACAGACAUAGAUACAUAGUUUGUAUAAGUUUUCCAGAAGCUGGAAGAUGUCCACAGUAUUGACACCAAUAGCUUGACAAGCUCAACUUCUACGCUGGAAGAAAUUUACUGUCAUAUUGGCUGGAAGCAUUUACAGAACUAUAUGCUUAUAAACCAGAGAUUAAUAACCAUAUGCACCUUUAGAAGACUUCUAUAAAGUAUCUUUAAUGACUUGGUUCAUGUCAUUUUAAAAACAGUCAUUUUCAAGAAGAAAAUCAAUACAUUUGUUGUAUUGACUUUGCUUUCCCAUUCCUGUUCCUAUCUUUGCUAAUGGCUUGACAUCCACAGUAUGUACAGUCUGAUGCUUGGGAAGAUUAUUGAAAAUUAAUCCCAAGUUUCCAGCUUGCUAAUUAUAGUGCACAAUUAUUGUGGACUUCCCUCACCAUUCCCCUACCUCAGUAUAACAAAAGAAGAAGAAUAUUUUUCUGUGAAAGCCUCCAAAAAUGCCAAAGAUGUCAUUAGCAAAGUGUUCCUAUAACCUAUAUAUAUGGCCUGUUUAACUUUAAAAAUUGAUAUGCAGUCAUGCAGAUGAUGGAAGAAAGUUACUGGAAGAGAACAGCUAUCAUGAUCUGGAGAGCUGUAUAACCUAUCCCCAUUGACCGUGGGAAUCUGUCCUUGCUCUUUCCUGAGGAAAAAAUCUUCAUUGCAUCUUAGCAGAAUUUCUGCAGGUAGGUAUCAGUGAGAAAAAUUUUAGCUCCUAUUCCUCAUGACCCAAGCUGAACUUACUCACCUUUAUUAAAUGAAGAAUCUCUGCAACUGGGCUCAGUAAAGUGUAAUUUAACCAGAAAUCUUAUUUUCAUCAAAUGAAUUGGAUUGGGUCUGUUUUUAUCAAGGCCACACACAGAGUCCUUUUAAAGGAAGAUGCCAUAUGAUCUCAGCUAGGUAAGUGGAUUCUCAAAACACAUCCCCAUCUCUUAAAACAAACAAGAAAAUGGGCAUGACAAAAUCCAUGUUAUACAGUAUGCUGUAUAUACAAAUUGAAAGACUGCAUCUCAGUUUUUCCUAUUACUCAGUUUAACGGGAUUCGGUAAAACAUGGAAGCAAAGCACCAAUAGCCAUCUCUCCCCAAGUCCUUGAAGAAUUCUCAGCAUCUCCUAUGGGUCUUCAGGCCUCUAAAGUUUCUUCAUUUGCCCCACAAGUGUCUACAACACAGAUUAAACAACUUGUCACUGGGAAAGCACGGACUUUGGAGUUGGCUAUCCACUUGUCUGUUUCAGUAUUAUAUUCAAGAAUGUGCCCUAAUCGACCAACACCCUGAAAACCAGCCAGGACAUAGACUAUAGAUCCCACAGCCGCACACUUCACUGUUACACCUUUCCAUGGCAUUGGAGACACCAUCUUCCAUUCAUUCAUCUUGAUAUCGUAAUAUUCUACAUUAUCAAGGCCACCUACAAAGCAAUGAAAUAGAUAAUUGCUUAUUACAUUAUACCAUACAGACUGAACUAGAGCAUGCAAAUGCUUCAUUAAACUUAGUCUUUGUUUUCAAGUUUAGAUCAAAACAAUCCUAGAGUAAAAAACAAAAAACAAAAAACAAACAACUUGAAAAAAGGUCACAGAUUUCUAAACUAGCCGUUUGCCCUGUUACAAAUACAGAAACAGAGAAAAGUAAAAAGGAGACUGAAAGUGAGAUGUUUUGUAACAAAUUUCACGUUAUGCGCUUUCUAGAGAUUCUAGCGUGUUACUUCAUGAACAGAAGAACUAACGGUUCCAAAUUUCUUGUGGAAUUGUGGCUAGUGACUAAAACUCAGGAAUCCACCUGAAACCUCCCUAUAGCGAGGGCAUUUUUUUCUAGAGGGGUCACCAGCACCUUUACCUAAAUUGGUCAUUUACUGAUGGAGGAUGACACUCUUCAUUAUGAUAUUAAGACUGUUGACAUUUAAAAGCCUAAGUCCUUUUGAAAAAGGCUAGUAAUUACAAUAUCUACAAACAUCCUGGUAUCCCUAUUUAACAAUUUUAAUAUAAGUCACAGGGUUUUUGCUUGCAGUUUUGAAUUAUUAGAUCCAAGAGAUUAAGAAACUGUUAUAUAAUAUUAAGAGGUAAGAAUAUUUCACCCCAGACAUAGCUCUUCCCCAUUAUAUUACAAUAAGAACAAUUAAUCAGUCAGGCUACAGUAUAUGAACAGCAAAAUAAUACUUAUUGGUUCAGUAGUACACACCUUUAAAAUGAGCAUUGAGUGAAUACACUAACAUUUUGCAAAAUGGCAGCUCUAGCUAUAGCUGAUUGAUAAAGUGCACAAAAAAAAUGCAUCUACGGAUAUUUUUGCAUUAGAAAUCAAUCAUGCUGGAAUAGCUUCAGUAGCUAAUUAAAAUACAAGCUACAUUCUAAAAUAGCAUUAAUCUGAAAUCAAAUACUCCAACUACCAUAAAUAGUGAUUAAUAAAUCUCAUAGCUGAGAAUUUUUCAAUUUUGAAAAGCUCUUCAGAAACUAACUAAAAUUCAGUUCUCCUAGGAAAUAAACUAUUAUUAUUCUAGUUUUAAAGACAAGCAUAUAGGCAGAUCAUAAAUGACCUGCCCGUGACAGUAAGUCAUAUUUCAAAAUUAGGGCAGUCAAGAAAGUUCUCACUUUGUCACCGCUUUAAAAUAGCUAACUAGCUUUAAAUCUUUAGGCUGAAGUUCCUAAAAUAGCGGUUACACUUUUACCUCUCUCUCAAAAGAAUGCAAAAAACCCCCUCUCAAAAUACAUAAUGAAUAACUAAAAAAAGAUUAUCUUUUCUGAUGCCCUGUUUAGCCGUACUAACUACUGCAAAACUGGGCUACAGUAUGGGUGCAUGUCUGAAUUUGAUAGUACUAACAUGAGCACAAGAGCUUGAAAAAUAAGAUACAGUGAAAUAGGGAGGUGAAAGAAGGAAGGCAACAAUGACACGACAACAGCAGGACAUGUUUUAAGGUACUGCUCUGAAAAACUGAAGUUUUUCAGCUGAAGAGAGUAAGAACAAGUUCUUCGCAAAAGAAGAAAGGCCCCCAUGAAACCUUGGGUGACCAGCUAAAGAAUGAAUAGUAUUUAAGUACCUAAGCCAUUUUGUCCACCCACAGCAAAUAUUUUGUCCUUUACGAACACCAGCCCAUGAUUCUUCCUGGCUUCAAUCAUUGGACACAGUUCAGUCCACCUGGGGAAAAAGAAAACCAAACAAAACAGGAAAACUCACUAUUUAGUUCCUAUAAAUUAAAUAUAAAAUAUGUGCGUAAAACCUAGCACUAGGAAAAUGAAACGUGGAAGAAAGCUGCUAAGAAAACUGCCUUUGAAGUAAAACUACAGAAACCUGAUUUAUUACUGCUGAACUCAGGAGAAUUCCCUACCAUGUACAAUUUUUACUAUUCAUCUAUACUUAAGUUAUUUACAGAGCGAGCAGAGCCACAGGUGACCAAAAAUAAUCAGAAUUGAUGCAAUACUUACGUUUCUGUGGAUGGAUCAUAAACUUCACAGGAAUUUAGGACUCUCCCAGAAACAUUGUUUCCCAAGCUUCCUCCACAUACAUAAAUGAGACCAUUCGCCUCUACCAUUCCGUGGCUGCAUCGCUGAGUCAGCAUGCUGGGCUUUGUGUGCCAGCUUUCUGUUCUUGUGUCAUAGCAUUCAAAUAAAUACAGUGCAGAAUUUCCUUAAAAAAAUAGAAACCCACCAAAGUGGCAUUAAUUUUUAUGGUUGUCUUUCAAGAGAAGAGUCUAACAGCAACUAUCAAAUUGAUGUUUUAUUAGUUAGUUGAAAAGGGAAAGCUGCUUUUCUGCCUCCAGAAGCGGAACUAAGCAACUUGAAACUUGGGACUAUUCAGAAAGUACAUACUUGUAAUUCUUUUGACUCUCUUGUUCCAAAAUAUGCAAGUAAGUUUAUAAAAUUGAUAUUUGUGUUUAAAAACCAAAACAAAUCAUAGGGUGGGUUUUUUUCUUUAGGGAAGAAUAAACACUGAACAGAUAUGUAUGUAAAUUACCUAUCAUUGUCAUCAUCUCAUGCUACUCUCACUAUUUGGAAAUAUAUUAAACUUUCAAAUGUGAACAUGAAACCAA